This 522-nucleotide RNase P RNA is filed under the name Natronorubrum halalkaliphilum. RNAcentral describes it as "RNase P RNA component". The stretch from base 108 to 516 matches the Rfam family "Archaeal RNase P". From Rfam's summary of the family: Ribonuclease P (RNase P) is a ubiquitous endoribonuclease, found in archaea, bacteria and eukarya as well as chloroplasts and mitochondria. Lineage: Archaea; Methanobacteriati; Methanobacteriota; Halobacteria; Halobacteriales; Natrialbaceae. The record is from RNAcentral.
GGGAGAGAGAGCCUGGCUGCCGCGGCGGAUGCGUCGGCGACGUCGCAUCCGUACAUUGUGGCCAUCCCUUCGGGAUGCAUCACGCUCCUACCGUUGGCCAACUCUUCGAGUUGCCCAACGCACGCGAGGAAAGUCCCCCCACCUGUUCGGGCAGGUGACCGGACGCAAGUCCGGAGCGGGAGACCGCUGGCUCUGGAACAGAAACGACACGUCUCGGCCCGACCGAUGAUGCGUGCGAACCCGACCGAGAGGAAGGGAAGCUAACCUGCAGAGGGCGUGUGGUCGUUCGAACGAUACAUGGUUCGAAUCCAUGGGUUGCGUGCGCGGUUCUUCCCUUCGGGGAUCCGAACCUCGGCGACGUAACCGACCACACCCAGACGGCCGAGGAUCGAUGGAACGGCGAACCCUCACCGGUGCAAGUCCGUGCCGUGGUAGCCCGAACGCCCCGCGGCCUGGCCGCGGACGGCGCGGACGCUCAGCCGAAUGCCGGGACGAACAGAAGGGGGCUUACUCCUCUCACCC